This 301-nucleotide ribosomal RNA is filed under the name uncultured bacterium. RNAcentral's name for it is "partial 16S ribosomal RNA". It matches the Rfam family "Bacterial small subunit ribosomal RNA", at positions 509 to 807 of the family's 1533-position model. The record is from RNAcentral.
CAGUCGCCACGGUAAUACGUAGGGUGCGAGCGUUAAUCGGAAUUACUGGGCGUAAAGCGUGCGCAGGCGGUUGUGUAAGACAGGUGUGAAAUCCCCGGGCUUAACCUGGGAACUGCGCUUGUGACUGCACAGCUAGAGUAUGGCAGAGGGGGGUGGAAUUCCACGUGUGGCAGUGAAAUGCGUAGAGAUGUGGAGGAACACCGAUGGCGAAGGCAGCCCCCUGGGCCAAUACUGACGCUCAUGCACGAAAGCGUGGGGAGCAAACAGGAUUAGAUACCCCCGUAGUCCCUGUCUCUUAUAC